Molecule: ribosomal RNA, 465 nt
Filed under: uncultured bacterium
Lineage: Bacteria
Description: bacterial SSU rRNA
Rfam family: Bacterial small subunit ribosomal RNA
Source: RNAcentral
CCUACGGGAGGCAGCAGUAGGGAAUCUUCCGCAAUGGACGAAAGCCUGACGGAGCAACGCCGCGUGAGGGAAGAAGGUCUUCGGAUCGUAAAGCUCUGUUGUUAGGGAAGAACAAGUACGGGAGGAAAUGACCGUACUUUGACGGUACCUAACGAAUAAGCCACGGCUAACUACGUGCCAGCAGCCGCGGUAAUACGUAGGUGGCAAGCGUUGUGCGGAAUUAUUGGGCGUAAAGCGCGCGCAGGCGGUCUUUUAAGUCAGAUGUGAAAUCUGGUGGCUCAACCGCAGGCGGUCAGUGGAAACUGGGAGACUAGAGUGCGGAAGAGGGAGUCGGAAUUCCACGUGUAGCGGUGAAAUGCGUAGCGAUGCGGAGGAACACCAGUGGCGAAGGCGGCUCUCUGGUCUGGAACUGACGCUGAGGCGCGAAAGCGUGGGGAGCAAACAGGAUUAGAUACCCCAGUAGUC